Molecule: long non-coding RNA, 299 nt
Filed under: Elaeis guineensis (African oil palm)
Lineage: Eukaryota; Viridiplantae; Streptophyta; Magnoliopsida; Arecales; Arecaceae
Description: long non-coding RNA (EGUI_LNC074955)
Source: RNAcentral
AUACAUCUCUUGCAUUGACACUCUAUCCGACUAGCACUGUAAGUCUUAUGCCGUGCAAAGUCAAUAAAAUCUCGAACAUCUUUUCGAUAUUCAGGCAAAAAAAUAUCUCUAGCAUUCAUCCAACUUUUGUUGAUAUCCAUCUAAUAACAAACAUGAAAAUCAUUAACAAUAAAAAAAUUUUCAGUGGUAUUCAUUCGAAUCAGAUCCCGAUCCGGAUUGCGGAUCGAAUCCCGAUCUGAAUUCGUAUCAAAUCCUGAUUCGGAUCCAGAUAUGGAUCAUUUUAUACAAAACAGUACGCA